Molecule: non-coding RNA, 71 nt
Organism: Teratosphaeriaceae sp. CCFEE 6253
Lineage: Eukaryota; Fungi; Ascomycota; Dothideomycetes; Mycosphaerellales; Teratosphaeriaceae
Source: the annotation of a GenBank genome assembly
AUAUUAUUAGCUUAAUGGUAAAGCAGGAGAUUGCUAAUCUCUAUAAUAAAGUUGAAAUCUUUAAUAAGAUU